Molecule: ribosomal RNA, 229 nt
Filed under: uncultured bacterium
Lineage: Bacteria
Description: partial 16S ribosomal RNA
Rfam family: Bacterial small subunit ribosomal RNA
Source: RNAcentral
UGCGUAGGUGGUAAUGUGUGUCGGAUGUGAAAUCCCGUGGCUCAACUGCGGAACUGCGUCCGAAACUGCAUAACUUGAGUGCAGGAUGGGAGAGCGGAAUUCUUGGUGUAGCGGUGAAAUGCGUUGAUAUCAAGAAGAACACCGGUGGCGAAGGCGGCUCUCUGGAAUGUUACUGACACUGAGGCACGAAAGCUGGGGGAGCAAACAGGAUUAGAUACCCUGGUAGUCC